Long non-coding RNA from Falco peregrinus (peregrine falcon), 2244 nucleotides. RefSeq lists it as uncharacterized. Lineage: Eukaryota; Metazoa; Chordata; Aves; Falconiformes; Falconidae. The transcript is spliced from 4 exons. The record is from RefSeq and is a predicted model, not a curated record.
UGAGUAAGAGGUCUCACGUAAGACCAUUAUCUGGCCUUGUUUUAAGACCACUUCAGGGCUCCAGUCUUGCAAUCUGAUUUGUGCACAGACAGAUGCAUGCUUAACUGAUGUCAGUGGGCUGCUUUUUUGGCUUGGGAAGGCAUUUCGUGGAUCAAGGCCAUAACAGUUAACUCAGCUACCCAAACAAGAAAAUGAUGAAGCUCCUCUGCUGUGUUUAAUUUGAUGGCUUUGAGAUUAUAUCAACUUUUAGCUUCAUAGAUGUGCGGUGUUUCUCCACUAAAAAAGUGUAAUAUUCUUACCGUACUCCCACAACUUUGAGAAGACAGACAAACAUCAUGCAAAUGUUAGAGAACAAGCAGUAUUUAGUGUACCUGAGGUGGACCACACCAGCAGAAUGGCAAUGCCUACAGAAAAGGCCAUCCUUUCAGGACACCCAUUCCUUCCCAUGAAUUAUGGCAUGCUUGUUUGUCCUUGCUGCCUUACACCGAAGUUUCCAAACUUGCUUGUGUAUGUGCGGUCAUAGGAGUUAGGUGCCUGUUUUCAGAAAUAACGAGUUUAUAUGAAUGCUGCUCAGUUCAUGGGAAAAUGGAUGUGACCUCAAGAAACAGCUGCACUUUGAUUCUGGAGAUGAGGUUUCUAGCUUUAGAUUUAGAGAUCUCUGUGUUUAGAGCCUGAUUCUGAUUGCUCUUGUAUUGCACAGAGAUCUGCUCUCACAGUACGGUGGGUGCUGAGCCAACACCCUUUGAAGUCCAUGGAAACUCUCUCACCGACUUCUAAAACAGACUGAGUUGUGCGUGAAUUCUACAGCCCAUUUUUUCUGCCUCAGUCACCAGUGUGGUCUCCCUCCUGGGUAUCAUGGGUAUGGAAGCUAAAUUAGCCACCCAAAAAAUUUAACAGAGCGUUAGACAGAGGUGCAAUUUCUGUGACAAUGGAACAAAGGUACCUACACAUUUUAAACAGCUUUACAGUGCCAGUCUGCUUUCACUGAUAUCUGUUUUAAAGUUACCUGUGAUCAGAAGUACGAGUACUCUCUACAGGAUACUUUUCAUAUACUUUUACUGGACUCUGCCUGGCACACUCACUGAUCUCUCUUCAGCAUGUUCUCUUUUUGUAGAUGAUCAGACAUCUCAUUUCUUUAAUAUACGGCGUACAGGAGAUGGAUGCACCUACAUGAACACCGUUGCCACCAGUGUGCACUGGUACAGCAGUCAGGCAUGCAUUACAAGCAGAAAGACUGGGGCUGGACAUGAAUAAAAGUGUACUGUCAUAUUGUACAUGAGAUGAUCUUUAGAGACUUUACCUGACCAUUGUUUUCGAAAGCGUGAACACCAGUGUAAGCUUUGUUAGUUAUCAAGUGUUAAGCACACUAUCAUGAAGUCCACAUGCACUUACAGUUUUGGUUUUUAGGUGUACUUUCCCCAGGUGUAAGGAAAAAUGGUGGAAGACGCAGAAAACCUUUGCUUUGUGGCUUCAAGGUGUCUUGGCUCAUAAAGUAAUGCUGGUGUGGUACAUGUCUACAACUGGUUGUCUGGGUUGGAGCAGGACUGGAAGGUCUGGGAAUGAAUCCAUGCAGAAUUGAAUCCUUUCUGCAUCUCCUUGGCUGGUGAAAAGUCACAUUGCUGCCCACAAGGGCGCAAAUGUUGAAUAAACCAUCAUUUUGGGUAGUAUGAAUCCAAUCUGUUGCCUGGUUUUGAAUGUUCAUUUUCAUACUUACUAGGAGCUACAGAACACUUAGAAGGUCAUCUCCAUGGGAUGGCUUCUUGCUGGAUUUACAAGGAGCUCUCCUAAUCCUUCAGCCACACUGCAGAAGGCAAUGAAGACAGAGAACAUGACCUUCACUUUGGGAUCCAUAGUUGUGGCGGACCUACUCCUCAAGGCCGAUGUGUAAAUAACUGCCACCAGGAUGGAGAUGGUGCUCAUGGGGAGCACCAGACAGCUCUUGGCUGCUCUGUUUUACGUGACAGGUCUUGUACAGCUCUUCUACCUGGCUCAAGGAUGCACCCCAGAGAUUGGUCCAGAGGGAGAAAAAUGCUUGCUGAAAAGAAUACACUCUUUUUCUCAAAACAUGAGCAUCAGAGCAUUUAUCAUAGAACACAGCAUCUGGCCAUGGAGAACCUGCAGCAGAACGAGAGUGCAUCAAGCCUCUCCUAGCAGCACAAAGGUGAAUUAAAAUUGCGUUAAGGAUGGAUAAUCACCUCUGCUGUGUUACUCUGGAUAUGUCCAUACAGCAGACUGGGAAGGAGA